UACGUAGGUGACCAGCGUUGUCCGGAUUUACUGGGCGUAAAGAGCGCGCAGGCGGUCGUUCAAGUCGAGUGUGAAAGCCCCCGGCUCAACUGGGGAGGGUCACUCGAUACUGAUCGACUUGAAGGCAGGAGAGGGAAGCGGAAUUCCCGGUGUAGUGGUGAAAUGCGUAGAUAUCGGGAGGAACACCAGUGGCGAAGGCGGCUCUCUGGAACGCAACUGACGCUGAGACGCGAAAGCGUGGGGAGCAAACAGG
Molecule: ribosomal RNA, 253 nt
Filed under: uncultured bacterium
Lineage: Bacteria
Description: partial 16S ribosomal RNA
Rfam family: Bacterial small subunit ribosomal RNA
Source: RNAcentral